RNAcentral lists this ribosomal RNA (252 nucleotides) under uncultured bacterium. RNAcentral's name for it is "partial 16S ribosomal RNA". It matches the Rfam family "Bacterial small subunit ribosomal RNA", at positions 524 to 776 of the family's 1533-position model. The record is from RNAcentral.
UACGUAGGUCCCGAGCGUUGUCCGGAUUUAUUGGGCGUAAAGCGAGCGCAGGUGGUUUAUUAAGUCUGGUGUAAAAGGCAGUGGCUCAACCAUUGUAUGCAUUGGAAACUGGUAGACUUGAGUGCAGAAGGGGAGAGUGGAAUUCCAUGUGUAGCGGUGGAAUGCGUAGAUAUAUGGAGGAACACCGGUGGCGAAAGCGGCUCUCUGGUCUGUAACUGACGCUGAGGCUCGAAAGCGUGGGUAGCGAACAGG